This 143-nucleotide ribosomal RNA is filed under the name uncultured eukaryote. Its description in RNAcentral is "partial 18S ribosomal RNA". It matches the Rfam family "Eukaryotic small subunit ribosomal RNA", at positions 1299 to 1458 of the family's 1831-position model. The record is from RNAcentral.
UGGUGGAGUGAUUUGUCUGCGUUAAUUCCGUUAACGAACGAGACCGCAGCCUACUAAAUAGUCGGCUUUAUGAUUUAUCAUAGAGUUUCGACUUCUUAGAGGGACUACCGGUGUUUAACCGGUGGAAGCUUGCGUCAAUAACA